UUUAACUUAGAGAACUCUCAAACCUCAGGUCAAUGUAUGGGGUGGAGGUGGGGCUUUUGCCUAUAGGAAGGAAUCCCCCUGCCACUUUUGCCAUUGUAUUAAUUAAUAUCCCUGACAAGAUAGAAUUCCCCGAACAUGGAGGGGGUGAAAAAAUAGUGACCACUGAGAUGAUAUUCCAUUUCUGGCCCCUGGGGGGAAUUGUUGUUGUUUAUUUCUUUUCAGAGGAUCAAGAUAGUAUGAACUUUAGGGAGUGCUGUAAUUUACUGGAGGGAAGGGAUACAAGACUCAGGGCCCCAGGCAAUAGGUGGGAAACUAGAUCUCAAAACAGAAAAUGAAAAGUCGAUCUGGGGUAAGAUUUUUAAAUAAGUGGGUCAGAGGGACCGAGAGGAGAUGAGGCGAUCAAUCUUAGCCCCCUGACAGCUCCCUCGGAUGGCAUCAAAGAAUUUGGCUCUUUGGGAAAGCAGAGGGAACAGCCGAAAUUCCACAUCCCUUUAAAAGGCCUGGGGAUGGGGGGUGUUAGCAAAAGAGAAGGGUGAUUCUGGGAGAGCAGGGAAACAGAUGGGAAAUGGGGACAGAGGAAGGGCGCUGGGUUGGGUGGAAAGUUUGUCUGGAGAACUCCCACGGCUCUGGCCUCCCCUCCCCCUCCUUGCUCGCUGCCUCCUAGAAAGAAGGAGAAGGCUGGUUAGCAGAGAAAUGGCAACUCGGCCGGGAGCUGGAACUAGAAACUUUCUGUCAAUGUAACAGACGCGUGGGUGGUGACCCAAUGGUGGUUGGGCUUCGGGUCACGUGACGACUUCUUUGUCGCUCCGGAAGAGAACUGUGAAGUUUAGGUUGCCUGUAAGAAGCAGUAAUGGGAGAAUUGCCAGGAAAAAAAAAAAAAAUCAAGAUUUGGGGGAAUUACCCACAUAGACGGAAGGUGUGUUAACUUGGGUGCUUCUUGGAUUCUACCCUGAGGAGGAGGCGCAUGGUUCAGCAGGUUGGCCAUCUCCACGCGGCGCGGCCGGCACAGGUAGCGGUUGAAGUGGAACUCCUUCUCCAGCUCCACCA
This is a long non-coding RNA of Physeter macrocephalus (sperm whale), 1047 nucleotides long. RefSeq lists it as uncharacterized. NCBI's taxonomy places the organism in Eukaryota, Metazoa, Chordata, Mammalia, Artiodactyla, Physeteridae. The record is from RefSeq and is a predicted model, not a curated record. The transcript has 5 exons.